GACGAACGCUGGCGGCGUGCUUAACACAUGCAAGUCGAACGAAGAGCGACGGAAGCUUGCUUCUAUCAAUCUUAGUGGCGAACGGGUGAGUAACGCGUAAUCAACCUGCCCUUCAGAGGGGGACAACAGUUGGAAACGACUGCUAAUACCGCAUACGAUCUAACCUCGGCAUCGAGGAUAGAUGAAAGGUGGCCUCUACAUGUAAGCUAUCACUGAAGGAGGGGAUUGCGUCUGAUUAGCUAGUUGGGGGGGUAACGGCCCACCAAGGCGAUGAUCAGUAGGCGGUCUGGGAGGAUGGACGGCCAAAUUGGGACUGGGGCCAGGCCCAGAAUCCUUCGGGAGGCAGCAGUGGGGAAACUUCCGCAAUGGAGGGAAGUCUGACGGAGCAACGCCGGGUGGGUGAUGAAGGCCUUCGGGUUGUAAAGCUCUGUUUAUCGGGACGAAAGGCCUUCUUGCGAAUAGUGAGAAGGAUUGACGGUACCGGAAUAGAAAGCCACGGCUAACUACGUG
Molecule: ribosomal RNA, 510 nt
Filed under: uncultured bacterium
Lineage: Bacteria
Description: partial 16S ribosomal RNA
Rfam family: Bacterial small subunit ribosomal RNA
Source: RNAcentral